RNAcentral lists this ribosomal RNA (581 nucleotides) under uncultured bacterium. Its description in RNAcentral is "partial 16S ribosomal RNA". It matches the Rfam family "Bacterial small subunit ribosomal RNA", at positions 355 to 1376 of the family's 1533-position model. The record is from RNAcentral.
UGAGGAAUAUUGGUCAAUGGGCGAGAGCCUGAACCAGCCAAAUCGCGUGAAGGAAGACUGCCUUAUGGGUUGUAAACUUCUUUUAUACAGGAAUAAAAAAGGGGACGUGUCCCUUAUUGCAUGUACUGUAUGAAUAAGCAUCGGCUAACUCCGUGCCAGCAGCCGCGGUAAUACGGGGGAUGCGAGCGUUAUCCGGAUUUAUUGGGUUUAAAGGGUGCGCAGGCGGGCUUUUAAGUCAGCGGUGAAAUCUCGGGGCUUAACUCCGAAACUGCCGUUGAAACUGGGAGUCUUGAGUAUGGAUGAAGUAGGCGGAAUUCGUUGUGUAGCGGUGACAUGCUUAGAUAUAACGAGGAACUCCGAUUGCGUAGGCAGCUUACUAAGCCAUAACUGACGCUCAAGCACGAAAGCGUGGGGAUCAAAACAGGAUUAGAUACCCUGGUAGUCCACGCCGUAAAACGAUGAUUACUAGUUGUAUGCGAUAUACCGUAUGUGACUAAGCGAAGGCGAUAAGUAAUCCACCUGGGGAGUACGCCGGCAACGGUGAAACUCAAAUGAAUUGACGGGGUCAUAGCUGUUUCCUG